RNAcentral lists this ribosomal RNA (116 nucleotides) under Peromyscus maniculatus bairdii (prairie deer mouse). The record is from RNAcentral. Lineage: Eukaryota; Metazoa; Chordata; Mammalia; Rodentia; Cricetidae.
UUCUAUGGCCAUACCACCCUGAAUGUGUCUGUUCUUUUUCUGAUCUCACAAGCUCAGCAGGCUUAGGCCUGGUUAGUACUUGGAUGAGAGACUAUCAUUUAGAGACACUAAAGAAU